CCUACGGGUGGCUGCAGUGGGGAAUAUUGGGCAAUGGGCGCAAGCCUGACCCAGCAACGCCGCGUGAAGGAAGAAGGCUUUCGGGUUGUAAACUUCUUUUAAGAGGGAAGAGCAGAAGACGGUACCUUUUGCAUAAGCCACGGCUAACUACGUGCCCGCAGCCGCGGUAAUACGUAGGUGGCAAGCGUUUUCCGGAUUUACUGGGUGUAAAGGGCGUGUAGCCGGGCAGUCAAGUCUGAUGUGAAAUUCCGGGGCUCAACCCCCGAACUGCAUUUGAAACUGUUGGUCUUGAGUAUCGGAGAGGUAGGCGGAAUUCCUAGUGUAGCGGUGAAAUGCGUAGAUAUUAGGAGGAACACCAGUGGCGAAGGCGGCCUGCUGGACGGCAACUGACGGUGAGGCGCGAAAGCGUGGGGAGCAAACAGGAUUAGAUACCCUAGUAGUC
RNAcentral lists this ribosomal RNA (442 nucleotides) under uncultured bacterium. Its description in RNAcentral is "partial 16S ribosomal RNA". It matches the Rfam family "Bacterial small subunit ribosomal RNA", at positions 338 to 795 of the family's 1533-position model. The record is from RNAcentral.